Vespa mandarinia (Asian giant hornet) is the source of this 1468-nucleotide RNA transcript. It is a transcript of the gene named major royal jelly protein 9-like, with no coding region annotated. Lineage: Eukaryota; Metazoa; Arthropoda; Insecta; Hymenoptera; Vespidae. The record is from RefSeq and is a predicted model, not a curated record.
UUCAUACGAUCUUUAAAAUUUUUUUGUCACAACGAUAUUGAUUCUUUUUGAUUAUAAAAUUUAUCAUUCUUCAUAUCGACAUGAAAUUGUCAUUUCAAUUUUUGUUACCAUUCCUUUGGAUAUCCUUGUCUUCACAAGAAUUAUUGUACAAAUGGAGAUAUAUAGAUUUUGAUUGGUAUUGUGAGACUCAUAAGAACGAAUACAUCAAAAAAGGAUUAUAUAUAAAAAAUGCUUCAGUACCUAUCGACACAUUGAUUACAAAUGGCCGAAUAUUUAUUACUAUACCACGUUCGAAAGGAGUACCUGCCAGUUUAGGAACCCUUAAUACACAGAAACAAAAUGGUGGAGGUCCUUUAGUUCGACCAUAUCCAAGUUGGGGAUGGGCAAGUGAUAUACAAGAUUGUUAUAACACUAUCAUCAGUGUUUAUAGAGUAGAUUUGGACGAUUGCGGUAGAUUAUGGGUUUUGGACAAUGGAAAGAUUGGAGAAGAACAAAAGUGUCCACCUAAGAUUUUAGCGUUUGAUUUAAAAACUGAUAGGUUGAUGGUACGGAAAGAGAUUCCCAAUAAAUAUGCUUUUAAUAGCAAUGGUAAUGGAAAUUUAGUAACACCUUUGGUGAAAACUUCAGGAAAACAAUGUGAGAAGAUAACGAUGUACAUGGCGGAUGUAGAGGGCUAUGGAUUAGUAAUAUGGAGAGGAGGCAAUAAUUUUCAAAGAUUCGAUUCACCAGAUUUCGCGGCUGAUAAAACGCUAUCAAAUUUUACAUUAAACAAUGAUACUUUUUAUCUAGCCGAUGGUCUCAUCGGACUGGCAUUGUACGAAGACGAAAAUAAAAAGAAUAGUAAAUUAUACUGUAGUUCAUUGGCUUCUUAUAAUAUGUACCAUAUAUCAGUGAAUUCAUUGGAACAAAGUACUGAUGGAAAAAUUAAUAUACAGCAAGAUAAGGGUGACGUUGAUUUUCGCAAAGUACCAUUGGCUAUUAAAGGAAAUACAAUAUUUUUUUCUAGUUUAGAAGAUAAUGCUAUAAGAAUGUGGGAUAUAAACACAGAAUUCACCAAAAAGAAUGUGAAAAUAAUAAAGAAGGACAAUAAUUUAUUACAAUUUGUUAGCGGCUUGAAAAUUUUAAAGAAUUCUAAUAAUACUUCGAAAUGUACGACCAUCUAUGGACUGUCGAAUAAAUAUCAAAAAGUAGCAACUGGUACACUAUCUUUGAAUAAAAUCAAUUAUCAGAUUUUCAAAUAUGAAUUGAAUUAAGACGAGAUAUUAAUCGAAUUUCACGAUCAGGAUUAUCUUAAGUAAAUAUUCUGACAAUAACCCGCAAUUCCGUGGAUUUUAUUAUAAAUAUCUAUAUACGAUAGCACUUUUAAAUAUUGCACAAUAGGAGUUUUAAAUAUUGUAUUCUUAUAUAAUAAUAAUAAUAAUAUAUCAAAAUGAAACAAUAAAAAAAUAUAUAUUUACUCUUUGAAAAA